UCCGCCUGCGCCGCCGGGGCUCUUACCUCUCGGAUACCGGGCUGGCUGGCCUCUAGCGCAUUUGGGGACUUUUUGGAGACGACAAGUACCAACAGAGUUGGGUCCACCAGAAGACACCUGCCUGUGAAGAGUACAUGGUGUUCUUGUCCGCGGUACUGCAGGAGAGUGGAGUGGCCGUGGAUUCCCAGGACUAGGAGACAAGGACAUGGGAAGGACGCCUGGGGGAUUGGAAAGGGGCCCGAGCUCGGGUACCGGGGCUCCUGAAAUGGGCUUCCGCUGUCCGCUCGGUCACUGCCCUCAAGCCACCUUCCUCCUUCCCUUAUGUGCAUCGUGCUGGCUCAGCGCUUCGAGGAGAGGGACAGGUGGGCGCCACGCUGCAUGGCCGCCCUGCGUUUGGGACCCUUUCCUGCUCCGCAGCGCUGACGCCGCUGGACUGUUCAGGCGCCCGCUAGUGUCGGCGCUUACCCGCCGCGCCCAGCGCAGGUGCUUCACGUCGCAGGCGGCCAGCGAGUGGUUGACGACUGUGUCCACCUGCGCUGCUGAGGCUGCUCCCUUCCUCAUGUGAUCGCCAGAAUCGUCCCCGCUCCUUCCCACUGGGCUUUUACUGAGGUCCAGCUGACCUCCAUUUGCAGGGGUUCACCCAGGCAGGUCUUUUUGACAUAGCUUCAUUCCAAAAGCUGAGGGGUGCGGUGAAGAGGAAAUUAUUGGGGAAGUGACUCGGUCUUUUUUUUUUUUUUAAGUUAAAUGUUUGAUUUGGGGAACAGGGUUCAGAGGAUGAGUUUCAGGAAGUCCAUAAAUUAUCUGAAACUGCAUGUACAUUUUUCCGGGCAGAGCUUUCCUGGUUCUCAAAGAAGAUUCAUGACUUAACAGCAUUAAGAACCUGGCAUCCGCCAGGAGUCAGAACACUUGUAAAAAUUUAAUGGUAAACAAUCAGCAGCACCCGCCGCCACCCUGAAAUUUCAGUAAUAAGGUGAUUUUUUGUUAAAGGCCAUACAAAUGGUCCGGAAUAUUUUAAGUUGCUAAUCAUGAAGAAAAACGUGUAUACCAACACACGCACAAUAGAUAACACUUGUCCUGUUAUUUAAGAUGAAGGAUCUCACCAAGCAAAGCAGAUCAAGGACACAGAAUGUACACUGUAUGCAAAACCAGAAGCUAACAAGCAUGUGGGGGUAUUUAGUAUUUGCACAAAUCAUCAUUACCAGUCACGACUGUGGUCAGAUGCUGACUCCCAAGUAAGUCGAAGAGGGAGGCAAACAGAAGGAAAAGAGAAAUCUUCCUGAGAUAUCUGGGUAAGACAUGAAGAGGACAGAGAAUUGAGGUUAAGGAUUUGCGUAUAUGUACCUAAUAAGAUACAAGUGAUUUCAUUCACCAGAAAUCUGGGGCGGGGCGGGGAAUAUGUAUCUAUAUAUGGUAGACUUUUCUGGGAAUGAGACGUGAGACCUCCCCCUUAAGAACAUGGUCAGGUACAACAGGUCACUAAAUUGCCUCCUAAUGUUCAAAUGAAUGAAUGGUGAACUAGAGGAAGUUUUGCUGAGCAGGAAUGGGUUUAAGAGGGUAAUUGAGCUAGGGCCAGGGGAGGCGAGGUGAUGGAUUGGAUAUCUAGUAGGCAAAAAGAAGUUGAGGUGACUGAGCCUUGAGAGGGGAGGACAAGAGGAAAACCUUCAUUGGUUUGGCCAGUAAGGUACUUCUGAGAACAAAAUGUCUAAUAGGAUGCACAAUGUGAACUCUUCUCCUUUGCUUACACACUAUCUUCAGUGAAGUCCAUAUUGCUCAGGGGUGUUUGUGUGCAUAGAUUGUUUAGGAGAAGCUUGAAGGGGUGCCAAAUUCUCUGUCAGGGCUGACAAGAGGUAAAUGUGGAAAUAAAAUAUGCAAACACGGGAAUCAGGCAUGGAAGGGAUAGGUGAGAUCCAGGUUUCAUGUGAGAAAGAUACGGUCUGGGCACAAUUCAAUUUGUGCUCCAGCAAUGAAAAAGGAAUAAGACGGCGCACUUCACUUGUAAUCAACCUAAGGGAAGAAGUAAAUCAAACAACUUCCCUUACUAAGAGUGUGACUGCUAGAGGCAGAGGUAUCUGGAAGGAUGUGGAAACUCUGCAAUCAUCUAUUUGUACAACCCUUUUCUCAAGCCAAGGAUAUAAACCUGGGAAGACACCUAUAUUGGAGUACAGAAUAAACCCAUUUGGUGAAUUUUUU
RNAcentral lists this long non-coding RNA (2190 nucleotides) under Homo sapiens (human). RNAcentral's name for it is "HSALNT0388174". The record is from RNAcentral. Lineage: Eukaryota; Metazoa; Chordata; Mammalia; Primates; Hominidae.